GCCCGGCUAGCUCAAUCGGUAGAGCGUGAGACUCUUAAGGAUAUCAAGAUCUCCGUCAUCUCAAGGUUGUGGGUUCGACCCCCACGUCGGGCU
This 93-nucleotide transfer RNA is filed under the name Thermochaetoides thermophila DSM 1495. Its description in RNAcentral is "Chaetomium thermophilum var. thermophilum DSM 1495 tRNA". It matches the Rfam family "tRNA". Rfam says of the family: Transfer RNA (tRNA) molecules are approximately 80 nucleotides in length. Their secondary structure includes four short double-helical elements and three loops (D, anti-codon, and T loops). Further hydrogen bonds mediate the characteristic L-shaped molecular structure. tRNAs have two regions of fundamental functional importance: the anti-codon, which is responsible for specific mRNA codon recognition, and the 3' end, to which the tRNAs corresponding amino acid is attached (by aminoacyl-tRNA synthetases). tRNAs cope with the degeneracy of the genetic code in two manners: having more than one tRNA (with a specific anti-codon) for a particular amino acid; and 'wobble' base-pairing, i.e. permitting non-standard base-pairing at the 3rd anti-codon position. The record is from Rfam by way of RNAcentral. Lineage: Eukaryota; Fungi; Ascomycota; Sordariomycetes; Sordariales; Chaetomiaceae.